Molecule: ribosomal RNA, 255 nt
Filed under: uncultured bacterium
Lineage: Bacteria
Description: partial 16S ribosomal RNA
Rfam family: Bacterial small subunit ribosomal RNA
Source: RNAcentral
UACGUAGGGGGGCAAGCGUUGUCCGGAAUCAUUGGGCGUAAAGAGCGUGUAGGCGGCCACUUAAGUCCUGCGUGAAAUCUUGCGGCUCAACCGCAAGCGGUCGUGGGAAACUGGGUGGCUAGAGUGCGGGAGAGGAGAGUGGAAUUCCUGGUGUAGCGGUGGAAUGCGCAGAUAUCAGGAGGAACACCAAUGGCGAAGGCAGCUCGCUGGGACGUGACUGACGCUGAGACGCGAAAGCGUGGGGGAGCAAACAGG